GCGGUAAUAAAAAUUAAACUAUUGAAUUUUUCUAAAGAGAAUAGACUAUACAAAAUAUAUUAACUCUCGAUAAAUACUAAAAUAAAUGAAAAUCUCAUUUUCAAAAAUAUUUUUCACCUCAUCAUUCAACUCUGCCACCACAAGUCCAUAAUCACUGCCAUGAAUGACAAAAAUAGAAAUGAUAAGAAGGCUCUACUACUAUACCACCAAUCUACAGUGCCACCAACAAGCACUACCACAAACAACAUAGCACCACUAGAUCCACCUCCUUACAAGGCUACAACCACCACCAGAAUCACCGUCAUGCCCCAGAAUCCUAGAGAGUCAUGGUUAACCCAUAAACUCCAUCGUACCACCGGUAUACCACUAAAUCUACAAUCAUCGCUAACAUGGACCACAUCAUCAUAACCACUAACACCUCUGUAGCCCAACCAUCAUCUCCAUUAUGUUUCUCUUCGGUGGAAAGAACACACAAAGAGAGAGAAAGAUGGCGGAAGGAAAG
This 502-nucleotide long non-coding RNA is filed under the name Panax ginseng (ginseng). RNAcentral's name for it is "long non-coding RNA (PGIN_LNC006656)". The record is from RNAcentral. Lineage: Eukaryota; Viridiplantae; Streptophyta; Magnoliopsida; Apiales; Araliaceae.